Arachis stenosperma is the source of this 639-nucleotide long non-coding RNA. RefSeq lists it as uncharacterized. NCBI's taxonomy places the organism in Eukaryota, Viridiplantae, Streptophyta, Magnoliopsida, Fabales, Fabaceae. The transcript has 2 exons. The record is from RefSeq and is a predicted model, not a curated record.
CUUUGAAAGAACCAGGCGGCCUUGAUUCAGCAUUGGCUCCUGUGUUCCGUUGCGGGCACAAAUUAAAACCCUAAAUUCCCUUCUUCCGUCUGCAGUUAGAUUGGCUGGCUUCUAAUAAGCGACAUGCAAAAUGGUGUGUGAGAGCUCAAUUUCACCCGGCUUAAAUGUGGUUUUUGUGGGCAGCUUCAAGGUUUGACAUGUCUUUUGCAUCAUGUUUCAAUUUAGGGAAACUGCCCUAAAUCUAUUUUUUCUUUUAAUCGUUUAUUUGAAACUAUUUUUCUAAAACCGUUACUUUCAUGGCUUCACCUAUGUCGAUCCAUUAUACGUUUUUAUGAAAAUCAAAUGAGGAAUUGGCAUCUAGAUUUGUUCCUUCUGGUUUAAAGGGUGUGUCAACUGUAAGGGCUCAAAAUUUCAGGCUUUAUUUGGACUUAUUUUCUAUUGGAUUCAUCUAAUAUGUCCGUAGAUCACUUGAGAUCCCAUUUCAUUGUGAAGGUCAUAUUGUAACCAUUCUCCUGCUGUGAACAUGGGGAUAGAAUGAUAGAUUGAAAACUAGGUCUACCUGAUUGAGAGCGGCAGCCUUGGAUGUGGAGUACUUUUUUUUUCCUACCCAACAUGGAUACUGAAUGUCUUUGUUUUGUA